Molecule: transfer RNA, 71 nt
Filed under: Hoolock leuconedys (eastern hoolock gibbon)
Lineage: Eukaryota; Metazoa; Chordata; Mammalia; Primates; Hylobatidae
Description: tRNA-Gln
Source: RNAcentral
UAGAACAGGGUGCGACGGGUGGCACGGAGAGUUUUGGAUUCUCAGGGAUGGUUCGACUCCUAUGGUUCUAG